Molecule: ribosomal RNA, 539 nt
Filed under: Vairimorpha ceranae
Lineage: Eukaryota; Fungi; Microsporidia; Nosematidae
Description: SSU rRNA
Rfam family: Microsporidia small subunit ribosomal RNA
Source: RNAcentral
CCAGGUUGAUUCUGCCUGACGUAGACGCUAUUCCCUAAGAUUAACCCAUGCAUGUUUUUGACAUUUGAAAAAUGGACUGCUCAGUAAUACUCACUUUAUUUUAUGUAAAUUUUUAAUUAACUACGUUAAAGUGUAGAUAAGAUGUUUACAGUAAGAGUGAGACCUAUCAGCUAGUUGUUAAGGUAAUGGCUUAACAAGGCUGUGACGGGUAACGGUAUUACUUUGUAAUAUUCCGGAGAAGGAGCCUGAGAGACGGCUACUAAGUCUAAGGAUUGCAGCAGGGGCGAAACUUGACCUAUGGAUUUUAUCCGAGGCAGUUAUGGGAAGUAAUAUUAUAUUGUUUCAUAUUUUAAAAGUAUAUGAGGUGAUUAAUUGGAGGGCAAAUCAAGUGCCAGCAGCCGCGGUAAUACUUGUUCCAAGAGUGUGUAUGAUGAUUGAUGCAGUUAAAAAGUCCGUAGUUUAUUUUUUUAAGAAGCAAUAUGAGGUGUACUGUAUAGUUGGGAGAAAGAUGAAAUGUGACGACCCUGACUGGACGAACA